GACGGGACCCCGCACAAGCGGUGGAUCAUGUUGUUUAAUUCGAUGAUACGCGAAGAACCUUACCAGGUCUUGACAUCCCCCGCGAUGCUUUAGAGAUAAAGCGGAGGUAUUCGGGGAGACAGGUGGUGCAUGGUUGUCGUCAGCUCGUGUCGUGAGAUGUUGGGUUAAGUCCCGCAACGAGCGCAACCCCUAUUGCUAGUUACCAUCAUUAAGUUGGGGACUCUAGCGAGACUGCCAGUGAUAAACUGGAGGAAGGUGGGGAUGACGUCAAAUCGUCAUGCCCCUUAUGACCUGGGCUACAAACGUGAUACAAUGGCUGGAACAAAGGGAUGCGAAGCAGUGAUGUGGAGCGAAACCCAUAAAAACAGUCUCAGUUCGGAUUGAAGUCUGCAACUCGACUUCAUGAAGUCGGAAUCGCUAGUAAUCGCGGAUCAGAACGCCGCGGUGAAUACGUUCUCGGGGUUU
RNAcentral lists this ribosomal RNA (465 nucleotides) under uncultured Acholeplasma sp. Its description in RNAcentral is "bacterial SSU rRNA". It matches the Rfam family "Bacterial small subunit ribosomal RNA", at positions 912 to 1382 of the family's 1533-position model. Lineage: Bacteria; Bacillati; Mycoplasmatota; Mollicutes; Acholeplasmatales; Acholeplasmataceae. The record is from RNAcentral.